UAGUCAUAUGCUUGUCUCAAAGAUUAAGCCAUGCAUGUCUCAGUGUAAACUUUUAAACGGUGAAACUGCGAAUGGCUCAUUAUAACAGUUAUAGUUUAUUUGAUGUUCAUUCUUACAUGGAUAACCGUGGGAAUUCCAGGGCUAAUACAUGCGGCUCGAAAGAGCGAGUGUUUAUUAGAUUCAAACCAAAACCGUGUCAAAGCGGGAUAAUUGGAAUGAUAAUAACCUAUCGAAUCGCAUGCCGUAUGGCGGCGAUAGAUCAUUCAAGUUUCUGAC
RNAcentral lists this ribosomal RNA (276 nucleotides) under uncultured eukaryote. RNAcentral's name for it is "partial 18S ribosomal RNA". It matches the Rfam family "Eukaryotic small subunit ribosomal RNA", at positions 21 to 311 of the family's 1831-position model. The record is from RNAcentral.